This 497-nucleotide ribosomal RNA is filed under the name uncultured bacterium. RNAcentral describes it as "partial 16S ribosomal RNA". It matches the Rfam family "Bacterial small subunit ribosomal RNA", at positions 28 to 507 of the family's 1533-position model. The record is from RNAcentral.
GACGAACGCUGGCGGCGUGCCUAAUACAUGCAAGUUGAGCGCUGAAGGUUGGUACUUGUACCAACUGGAUGAGCAGCGAACGGGUGAGUAACGCGUGGGGAAUCUGCCUUUGAGCGGGGGACAACAUUUGGAAACGAAUGCUAAUACCGCAUAAAAACUUUAAACACAAGUUUUAAGUUUGAAAGAUGCAAUUGCAUCACUCAAAGAUGAUCCCGCGUUGUAUUAGCUAGUUGGUGAGUUAAAGGCUCACCAAGGCGAUGAUACAUAGCCGACCUGAGAGGGUGAUCGGCCACAUUGGGACUGAGACACGGCCCAAACUCCUACGGGAGGCAGCAGUAGGGAAUCUUCGGCAAUGGACGAAAGUCUGACCGAGCAACGCCGCGUGAGUGAAGAAGGUUUUCGGAUCGUAAAACUCUGUUGGUAGAGAAGAACGUUGGUGAGAGUGGAAAGCUCAUCAAGUGACGGUAACUACCCAGAAAGGGACGGCUAACUACGUG